AACUUUCAGCAACGGAUCUCUUGGCUCUCGCAUCGAUGAAGAACGCAGCGAAAUGCGAUAAGUAAUGUGAAUUUCAGUAUUCAGUGAAUCAUCGAAUCUUUGAACGCACCUUGCGCUCCUUGGUAUUCAGAGGAGCAUGCCUGUUUGAGUGUCAUUAAUAUAAUUAACCUUUUCUUGUUUUGAGAAUGGUUUUGAUGUGGGGGUUUGCUGGCCUCUCUCAAAAGGUUCAGCUCCCCUGAAAUGCAUUAGCAGAACAACCUUUGCUCAUUGGUGUGAUAACUAUCUACGCUUAUGAAUACGGAGGGGCAGUUCAGCUUUCUAACGGUCUUUAGACAAUUCAUCAUUAAUGUGACCUCAAAUCAGGUAGGACUACCCGCUGAACUUAAGCAUAUCAAUAAGCGGAGGCU
Molecule: unclassified non-coding RNA, 407 nt
Filed under: uncultured Cortinarius
Lineage: Eukaryota; Fungi; Basidiomycota; Agaricomycetes; Agaricales; Cortinariaceae
Description: sequence contains ITS2
Rfam family: 5.8S ribosomal RNA (bases 1-154)
Source: RNAcentral